CAAAGCCGGACGCUAUGAUGUUUAUCACCUUCUUGUGUCAGAGGGAGCUGAUGUGUCAAUUACAGGUAACAUGGGCAGAGACUGUCUGAUGUAUGCAUGUGAGAGAGGUAACAUGUCUAUAGUUAGACAUCUACUAUCUUU
This is a long non-coding RNA of Haliotis rubra (blacklip abalone), 141 nucleotides long. RefSeq lists it as uncharacterized. The record is from RefSeq and is a predicted model, not a curated record. Lineage: Eukaryota; Metazoa; Mollusca; Gastropoda; Lepetellida; Haliotidae. The transcript has 2 exons.